This 77-nucleotide transfer RNA is filed under the name Rickettsiales bacterium. RNAcentral's name for it is "tRNA-Asp". It matches the Rfam family "tRNA". Rfam says of the family: Transfer RNA (tRNA) molecules are approximately 80 nucleotides in length. Their secondary structure includes four short double-helical elements and three loops (D, anti-codon, and T loops). Lineage: Bacteria; Pseudomonadati; Pseudomonadota; Alphaproteobacteria; Rickettsiales. The record is from RNAcentral.
GCGGAUGUAGCUCAGUUGGUUAGAGCGCUUGCCUGUCGAGCAGGAGGUCGCGAGUUCAAGUCUCGUCGUCCGCGCCA